GCGAACCUUAUAUAUAUUUCAUAAAAGCCCCUUUGUUCCAUUUUUCACUACUCUCUCUCUCUCUCUCUCUGUGUUUUUCUCGCUCAUGACGAUUUGGAGUGAAAUUCAAAAUUAGGGCACAGAACUCGACCUCCAUUUUUUUCUUCUUAGCGGAUAAGAUGUAAUCCAAGCGAGGAUUUUUUUCCGUUUCCCCAACCAAUUCGAACCAAACACUUCGUAAAUUUUCAAAAAUUUUUUUUUUUUCAAAAUUUUUCUAGGGUUUUUGUGUUUCUUGGGGGGGGGUUUGUGAACUGUGAAAUGAAGGACUCGCUGGAUCGGACCAAGGUGGUGCUCCGUCACUUGCCGCCGGCGAUUUCUCAGGCCGCUCUCACCGACCAAAUCGACUCCGCCUUCGCCGGUCGCUACCACUGGCUCACUUUCCGACCUGGCAAAGCAAGCCUGAAGCAUCAAUCCUAUUCUAGAGCCUACAUUGACUUCAAGAAACCUGAGGAUGUUAUUGAGUUCGCUGAGUUCUUCGAUGGGCAUUUGUUUGUUAAUGAGAAGGGCACUCAGUUUAAAACUAUUGUUGAGUAUGCUCCAUCUCAACGCGUUCCAAAGCAGUGGGUUAAAAAAGAUGGUCGUGAAGGAAGCAUAUUGAAAGAUCCCGAGUAUCUGGAAUUUCUUGAAUUUCUUGCGAAGCCUGUCGAAAAUCUUCCCAGUGCAGAGAUACAAUUGGAGAGAAGAGACGCAGAACGAGCUGGAUCUGCAAAGGAUGCUCCCAUUGUUACACCAUUAAUGGAAUUUAUACGUCAGAAAAGAGCUGCUAAGGGUGGUUCUCGGAGAUCAUUGUCUAAUGGGAAAUUGAGCAGAAGAGCUUCUGGAUCAUCAUCUGGAAGCCCUAGUUCAGCCUCAUCGAAACGAGGUUCUGAGAGGAGACGGAUUUCCACCAGGAUGUAUGUUUUAAGGGAUGCUGCAAAGAAUAUGAGUGUCAAAGACAAGUCAACCUACAUUCUGGUUCCAAAGCGAGAUGAUCAGCAGCUUUCUGACAAGUCUGUUACAUUGGUUCCUGCAGCUGGGAAUGAAUUAUUGGAAGAGGAAAAUGGAGUAUCCGGAACUAAUGAAUCUGGGAAAAAGAAAGUCCUGCUCCUGAAAGGAAAAGAGAGGGAGAUUUCUUCUGUGUCUGGCAGCAUAUUACAGCAGCAGGGUGUAUCAUCUCCUGUUAGAAAUAUAAUUGGUUCUGGUCCACUCAAGCAUAACCAGCAACGUGAAGGUAGUGGAAGGAUAAUCAGAAGCAUACUUAUAAACAAGGAUUCACGUCAAAGUCAGUCUUUUGUGGGCCAGUCAGAGCAGCAAAUCCAGACUUCAAAUUCAGAGAAGGACAAGCGGCCUCCUCGGAUCCCACAUGCACAAUUGGCUUCGAAGGACACAAAUUCAACUCCAGAAAAUAAGGUUGUUGCGAAUGACUUUCCUGGAUUUUAUAGUGAGAAGCAAGAAAAACGUUCAAGAAAUAAGGAUAAGCCUGAUCGUGGUGUAUGGGCUCCUCUUCGUCGUUCAGAUGGAACUCAUGCUAGUGAAGAGUCUUUGUCAUCCGGUACUUCACAGUUGCUGCUAGAUUCUUCAGAAGGAUCUCAUGGAGAUAUGAAAUUUGAAAUGGCAAAUGCUCGGAUUGGGGAAGUUAAAAACCUUGGAAGUGGACGUAGUAGCCAUUCUUCCUUAGAUAAUGGAUCCCAUAAACAUUUUGGUCGCCGUGGGCCAACGCAUGGUGUCAAGGAUGUUGAUGGCUCAUCAAAUGUAAGUGAGGGGAAGCAUUUGAGGAGAGGCACUGGCUUUAAUUCCCAUGAGAGGUUUUUUGCAAUGAAUUUGCAGAAACAAGUGUGGGUUCAGAAACCAAGUUCUGGUUCCUAAAGUUAUUGAAAGUGGUUCUUCCUGGAGCUUCAUAUUGUUUUGAUUUCAAUGACAAGACAGACAACUUCUUAGUAUCUUAAGAGGGGAAAACAGUGAAGAGGAGAAUCACCCUUGGAUGAAAAUUGCCAACGUUAUCACGCCCUUAGUAGAUUCACUGUCUCGUUUGUUUGCAGUUUUAAUGUCUGGUCAUAUACACGAUUUUGGAACAUGCAUUUGCUAGUGGCUGGAGAGGCUGUCUCUUUUUACUAGACAGAUUAUCAGGUGUAAAUGGAGUCUCAGCAUCAGCAAUGGUUCCUUUUGAAAAACCCUAGAGGAAAGUAGAGUUCGUCUGAAUGAUGCAGAUACCGAUGUAAGUAAUACUCGGUUGGCUGAAGAAAUCCUGAUUUUAUUUCGUCAAAGAUAGCUUGGAAUAGGAGACAUGGAAAGCAACAGAUGUCAUUGUUAUAAUUGUAUUAUUACACAGUUUUCAUCAGGGUGACCCUCUAUGGGGUUCUGCCUGUCGGAGGAGCUUUGGAAGCCCGCACUCAUGCUUUUGACUAGACUAGUUAUCGGGGUAUUCUGGUUUUAUGGGAUCUCUCCCGUUAGUAUAAAUGUAAAUAUAAUCUCAGAGCGAUCGGUAUCACCAUCUUGCUUAUCAAUAUCUAUCAAAGCAUUUUAAUGUGUUACAUACUUUUCUUCCAUUGCUGUUGCUGCCACUUUGUUUUGCAAAGCAAUUUAUAUGCAUAUGCAGCAAUAAGACAAAAAGGAGAAGUUUACAAGCAGCAUAAACAGCAAUAAUAUAGAGAACCUUGCGGAGAAUU
RNA transcript from Quercus lobata, 2684 nucleotides. It is a transcript of the gene named regulator of nonsense transcripts UPF3-like, with no coding region annotated. Lineage: Eukaryota; Viridiplantae; Streptophyta; Magnoliopsida; Fagales; Fagaceae. The record is from RefSeq and is a predicted model, not a curated record. The transcript has 14 exons.